RNAcentral lists this long non-coding RNA (656 nucleotides) under Equus caballus (horse). RNAcentral describes it as "lncRNA (ENSECAG00000050103.1)". Lineage: Eukaryota; Metazoa; Chordata; Mammalia; Perissodactyla; Equidae. The record is from RNAcentral.
AGACAAUUUUAUAAAAUAGCCUGGACUCACAGAAUAACACGGUUUUUCUCCUUUCCGUUCUCUGUCAGUCUCCCUGAUCACCUCCAGGAGACACAGCUUGGUGCUGGGGUGUCUCCACUGCCUCUCCCACGCUUGCUCAGCUCUUCCUUUUCCACAGAGAGAAGCAUAAAGUCGUGAAUAUUCUGGAAACACAAAUUGGAACACGAAGAAAAGUAAGAAAAAUUUGUGCAUCACCCUAUUGGGAAAUGAUACUUUGUGACGUGAGAAUCUGUUGCGUUCAUGCCGUUUGAGAAGAAGCGUUUGGGAAAGAUUCACCCUGAGUUAUCUGUUGCCAAUCUUCCUCUCUUUAUUUUCUCCCCAAAGCCCCAGGAUAUAGUUGUAUGUCCUAGUGCUAAGUCCUAGUUCUUCUAUGUGAGCCACCACCACAGCAUGGCAACUGACAGACAGUUGCUGUGGUUCCACGACCAGGAAGUGAACCCGGGCCGCCGAAGUGGUGAGUGCCGAGCUUUAACCGCUAGGACAUCAGGGCUGGCUCACUCAUUUCUUUUUAGAAAUAAUCGAAUAAUAUUCCAUUGUCUGGAUGCACCACAGUGUAUUCAUUCAGCUACUGAAGGACGUCUUGGUUGCUUCUAGAUUUUGGCAAUUAUGAAUAAAGC